Small nucleolar RNA from Pseudophryne corroboree (corroboree frog), 77 nucleotides. RefSeq annotates it as small nucleolar RNA SNORD72. Lineage: Eukaryota; Metazoa; Chordata; Amphibia; Anura; Myobatrachidae. The record is from RefSeq and is a predicted model, not a curated record. The transcript has a single exon.
CAUUCAUCAGUGAUGUUCCUAAAUAAAUGUCUGAACAUAUGACAACCUGUGAUUCCCACUUGUUGCUGAGAUAAGUG